RNAcentral lists this ribosomal RNA (374 nucleotides) under uncultured organism. RNAcentral's name for it is "partial 16S ribosomal RNA". It matches the Rfam family "Bacterial small subunit ribosomal RNA", at positions 527 to 896 of the family's 1533-position model. The record is from RNAcentral.
GUAGGUGGCAAGCGUUGUCCGGAAUUAUUGGGCGUAAAGCGCGCGCAGGUGGUUCUUUAAGUCUGAUGUGAAAGCCCCCGGCUCAACCGGGGAGGGUCAUUGGAAACUGGGGAACUUGAGUGCAGGAGAGGAAAGUGGAAUUCCACGUGUAGCGGUGAAAUGCGUAGAUAUGUGGAGGAACACCAGUGGCGAAGGCGACUUUCUGGCCUGUAACUGACACUGAGGCGCGAAAGCGUGGGGAGCAAACAGGAUUAGAUACCCUGCUAGUCCACGCCGUAAACGAUGAGUGCUAAGUGUUGGGGGGGUUUCCCGCCCCGUCAGUGCUGCAGCUAACGCAUUAAGCACUCCGCCUGGGGAGUACGGUCGCAAGACUG